CAAAGAUUAAGCCAUGCAUGUCUAAGCACACGCCUUAAAACGGUGAAGCCGCGAAUGGCUCGGUAUAACAGCUACGGUUUAUUAGAUUUUAGUUAUCUACUUGGAUAACUGUGGUAAUUCUAGAGCUAAUACAUGCACGAAAGCUCNGACCUUACGGGAAGAGCGCACUUAUUAGAUCAAAACCAAUCGGACUCCGGUUCGUGUUUUGGUGACUCUGAAUAACUUAGUUGAUCGCACAGUCUCGUACUGGCGACGUAUCUUUCAAAUGUCUGCCUUAUCAACUUUCGAUGGUAGGUUAUAUGCCUACCAUGGUUAUAACGGGUAACGGAGAAUAAGGGUUCGACUCCGGAGAGGGAGCCUGAGAAAUGGCUACCACAUCCAAGGAAGGCAGCAGGCGCGCAAAUUACCCAAUCCCAGUACGGGGAGGUAGUGACGAAAAAUAACGAGAUAGUCCACUUUGUGGCCUGUCAUCGGAAUGGGUACAAUCUAAAUCCU
Molecule: ribosomal RNA, 495 nt
Filed under: Mermis nigrescens
Lineage: Eukaryota; Metazoa; Nematoda; Enoplea; Mermithida; Mermithidae
Description: SSU rRNA
Rfam family: Eukaryotic small subunit ribosomal RNA
Source: RNAcentral